RNAcentral lists this ribosomal RNA (468 nucleotides) under uncultured bacterium. RNAcentral describes it as "bacterial SSU rRNA". It matches the Rfam family "Bacterial small subunit ribosomal RNA", at positions 329 to 794 of the family's 1533-position model. The record is from RNAcentral.
ACCCAGACUCCUACGGGAGGCAGCAGUGAGGAAUAUUGGUCAAUGGGCGGAAGCCUGAACCAGCCAAGUCGCGUGAGGGAAGAAGGCCCUGCGGGUCGCAGACCUCUUUGGACGGGGAGCAAGGCCGCCGACGUGUCGGCGGAAGGAGAGUACCCGUAGAACAAGCAUCGGCUAACUCCGUGCCAGCAGCCGCGGUAAUACGGAGGAUGCGAGCGUUAUCCGGAUUCAUUGGGUUUAAAGGGUGCGCAGGGGGCCUUUAGGGCGGGGGGUGAAUGCGGGGGGCCCACCCCCGCCGAGCCGUCGGAACUGGGGGCCUUGAGUGCGGCGGAGGCAUGCGGAAUGCGCGGUGUAGCGGUGAAAUGCAUAGAUAUCGCGCAGAACCCCGAUUGCGAAGGCAGCGUGCCAUGCCGCCACUGACGCUGAGGCACGAAAGCGCGGGGAUCGAACAGGAUUAGAUACCCCCGUAAU